Molecule: ribosomal RNA, 223 nt
Filed under: uncultured marine eukaryote
Lineage: Eukaryota
Description: partial 18S ribosomal RNA
Rfam family: Eukaryotic small subunit ribosomal RNA
Source: RNAcentral
AAACCUUACUAAGGUAAGACAUUGAUAUGAUUGACAGAUUACUUGAUCUUUCUUGAUUUGGUGGGUGGUGGUGCAUGGCCGAUCUUAGUUGGUGGGGUGACCCGUCUGGUUAAUUUCGAUAACGAACGAGAUCCGAGCUGUUUAGUUGGCAAGAGGUGUUUUGCAUCGGUCAGUUUCCUAUAUGGACUGUCAGUUGAAAGCUGAAGGAAGUUUCGGGCGAAAU